CCUACGGGAGGCAGCAGUGAGGAAUAUUGGACAAUGGGCGCAAGCCUGAUCCAGCCAUGCCGCGUGCAGGAAGACGGUCCUAUGGAUUGUAAACUGCUUUUAUACAGGAAGAAACACUCCCUCGUGAGGGAGCUUGACGGUACUGUAAGAAUAAGGAUCGGCUAACUCCGUGCCAGCAGCCGCGGUAAUACGGAGGAUCCAAGCGUUAUCCGGAAUCAUUGGGUUUAAAGGGUCCGUAGGCGGUUUAAUAAGUCAGUGGUGAAAUCUGGUCGCUCAACGAUCAAACGGCCAUUGAUACUGUUAGACUUGAAUUAUAAGGAAGUAACUAGAAUAUGUAGUGUAGCGGUGAAAUGCUUAGAUAUUACAUGGAAUACCAAUUGCGAAGGCAGGUUACUACUUAUGGAUUGACGCUGAUGGACGAAAGCGUGGGGAGCGAACAGGAUUAGAUACCCUGGUAGUCCACGCCGUAAACGAUGGAUACUAGCUGUUCGGAGCAAUCUGAGUGGCUAAGCGAAAGUGAUAAGUAUCCCACCUGGGGAGUACGUUCGCAAGAAUGAAACUUAAAUGAAAUUGACCGGNGUGAGAGAGCGACGACGACGACGAGGGAGGAGG
RNAcentral lists this ribosomal RNA (612 nucleotides) under uncultured bacterium. RNAcentral describes it as "bacterial SSU rRNA". It matches the Rfam family "Bacterial small subunit ribosomal RNA", at positions 338 to 951 of the family's 1533-position model. The record is from RNAcentral.